RNAcentral lists this unclassified non-coding RNA (263 nucleotides) under plant metagenome. Its description in RNAcentral is "partial contains small subunit ribosomal RNA, internal transcribed spacer 1, and 5.8S ribosomal RNA". The record is from RNAcentral.
UUUCCGUAGGUGAACCUGCGGAAGGAUCAUUAUUGUAUAACCGAGGUGCGAGGGCUGUCGCUGCCCCGACAGGUCGUGCACGCCCGAGUGCCCUCACACACAUCCAUCUCACCCCUAUGUGCACCACCGCGUGGGUCCCCCUUUGGCUUGUUCGGAGGGGGGCUUACGUUUUCACACAAACUUUGUAUGCAGUGUAGAAUGUAUUUUUUGUUUUUGCGAUCACGCAAUCAAUACAACUUUCAACAACGGAUCUCUUGGCUCUC